RNAcentral lists this ribosomal RNA (253 nucleotides) under uncultured bacterium. Its description in RNAcentral is "partial 16S ribosomal RNA". It matches the Rfam family "Bacterial small subunit ribosomal RNA", at positions 524 to 776 of the family's 1533-position model. The record is from RNAcentral.
UACGAAGGGGGCUAGCGUUGUUCGGAAUCACUGGGCGUAAAGGACGCGUAGGCGGCUGUUCAAGUCGGGGGUGAAAUCCCGUGGCUCAACCACGGAAUGGCCUUCGAUACUGGACGGCUGGAGACCGGAAGAGGUGAGUGGAACUGCGAGUGUAGAGGUGAAAUUCGUAGAUAUUCGCAAGAACACCAGUGGCGAAGGCAGCUCGCUGGGACGGUACUGACGCUGAGACGCGAAAGCGUGGGGAGCAAACAGG